This 280-nucleotide ribosomal RNA is filed under the name uncultured bacterium. Its description in RNAcentral is "partial 16S ribosomal RNA". It matches the Rfam family "Bacterial small subunit ribosomal RNA", at positions 338 to 630 of the family's 1533-position model. The record is from RNAcentral.
CCUACGGGGGGCAGCAGUGGGGAAUAUUGGGCAAUGGAGGAAACUCUGACCCAGCGACGCCGCGUGAGGGAUGAAGGCCUUCGGGUUGUAAACCUCUUUCAGUAGGGAAGAAGCGAAAGUGACGGUACCUACAGAAGAAGCACCGGCUAACUAUGUGCCAGCAGCCGCGGUAAUACAUAGGGUGCAAGCGUUGUCCGGAAUUAUUGGGCGUAAAGAGCUCGUAGGUGGUUCGAUACGUCGGAUGUGAAAAUCAGGGGCUCAACCCCUGACCUGCAUCCGA